Long non-coding RNA from Humulus lupulus (European hop), 510 nucleotides. RefSeq lists it as uncharacterized. The transcript is spliced from 3 exons. The record is from RefSeq and is a predicted model, not a curated record. NCBI's taxonomy places the organism in Eukaryota, Viridiplantae, Streptophyta, Magnoliopsida, Rosales, Cannabaceae.
GUCGGCCAUAGAGAGAAGAGAGAGAGAGAGAGUGGCGAGCUAGAGAGAGAAAGGGAGAGAAGGGGCUGCCAUUUUCUAGAGAGAAGGAGGAAAGAAAGAAGGAGAAGAAGGAGAAAGGAAAAGGGUUUCAAAGCUCUAGGACUUUGAGCAAGGAGGUGGUUCUAGUUGGGCUCUUGAUUUUCUAUCAAGAGAGGUAGCAAAUAUGUUUCUCUAUGACACGCGUGAUGAUGUAGGAAGUUCUGUCGUCUUGUUGUGUAUGGCGUGGGGGCAUCCUAUGGAUGAGAAACGAGCAGUUUUAAACGCUAUUUUCUUUUAAUAACGUUAUGUUUAAUGGGACUUUUUAAUUUAUCAGUGGGACUUGAACUUUUGGUUAUUUUAAAGCUUUGCAUGAAAACUGAUAUUUUCUUUUUAAACUAUUGGGCCCAACUUGCAUGUUUUAGCAAGACCCCCAUUGAAGUCCUUAUAAUAAGUGGUUUUUCUCCUAUAAACCAAUUAAUAUGUGAAUGUUUU